Centruroides sculpturatus (bark scorpion) is the source of this 282-nucleotide long non-coding RNA. RefSeq lists it as uncharacterized. The record is from RefSeq and is a predicted model, not a curated record. The transcript has 2 exons. NCBI's taxonomy places the organism in Eukaryota, Metazoa, Arthropoda, Arachnida, Scorpiones, Buthidae.
AUAGUCGAAUUUGAUAAUUGCGACGAUCGAAUAAGAGAAAGCUUUUGCCCAGGAGUAGCGAAUAAUUGUACAAGCAAGCAUCCAGGCUAUGAUUGUUUAUGUAAUAAAGGCUUUAAGGCAAUAGAGACAUUUUACAAACCCGGUACUAAGUACCAGUAUUGUGAAGAUAUUGAUGAAUGUCUUGAUGCAAAUAUUUGUGGGAGUAAUUCGAACUGCAUUAAUACUGUUGGAAAUUUUACAUGUUCCUGUAUAGAUGGAUUUGUACGAAACAAGAAUAAAAAU